Molecule: ribosomal RNA, 393 nt
Filed under: uncultured bacterium
Lineage: Bacteria
Description: partial 16S ribosomal RNA
Rfam family: Bacterial small subunit ribosomal RNA
Source: RNAcentral
AUACGGAGGGUGCAAGCGUUGUCCGGAUUUAUUGGGUUUAAAGGGUGCGCAGGUGGUUUAUUAAGUCAGUGGUGAAAGACGGUCGCUCAACGAUUGCAGUGCCAUUGAAACUGGUAGACUUGAGUAAAGUAGAGGUGGGCGGAAUUGAUAGUGUAGCGGUGAAAUGCAUAGAUAUUAUCAAGAACUCCAAUUGCGUAGGCAGCUAACUUGGCUUUUACUGACACUCAUGCACGAAAGUGUGGGUAUCAAACAGGAUUAGAUACCCUGGUAGUCCACACUGUAAACGAUGAUAACUAGGUGUCGGCCGAAUCUGGUCGGUGCCACAGCGAAAGCGUUAAGUUAUCCACCUGGGGAGUACGCCGGCAACGGUGAAACUCAAAUGAAUUGACGGGG